GUAAAAUUCCUAAAGAAAUUGUGCAAUUUAAGCCAGAGUUGCAUAGAAACUCCCAGCCCUCCCGAAAUGUUUGGGCAGUCUCCUUUGUUACUUUCCAUGGGGCGCCAGUGCAGAAUGGCUGGAGGAGCAGUCAACGUGACACGAGGUGUGUUGACACCGAUUUCACAAUAUAUCCUUUAUCAUUAAGGUGCUGUGCUUUUGGCUGCUCCUGAGGCUUGGAGAGAGCUGGAAGGAGCAGCAUGAUCCUGGCAAUCCCUGUCCGUUCACCCUGUUCCCUCCUGGAGCCCAUCUGCAGCAGCCUCUGUGGAGGGACAGCUCACGCUGAAACGCAGCCACCCCCCUUCCACAGCCACACGCAGAGAAACCAAGGUGGGCAAGGAGAUGUGGGCAGCCUGUGGCUGGACGUGGGCCUGAGCGUGUGUCACCAGGCACCAGGCUGGAGCACAGAGGAAACCUCCCAUCAUUUCAAACAAAAAAAUGACUUUUUUUUAAAAUGAAGAGCCAAAUCGGCAACAUUUUGCAACACAAAUGGCUGAAGUAAUCAUUACCAAGCAAACAAACAGAGAUAGGAAAGGGGCAGGGAGAAGAAUCUAGGCAUUUUAACAUUUUUUUUUUUCAUGGUUUGAGGUCUCGUAGCUGAAUCCAAGCCAUACUUUCAGGUGAUGCUGGAGCAACUGAGUGGCUUGCAUGUGGGGACUGGUGAGACCAACAGUGCUUCUCGUUCACCCUUGUGUUUCCUCCGCUCUAGUAGCCCUGGCAAACAUUUUGCAAUGCUGUGUGUCCCUGUUUAUAAGUGCCGGUAAGGGAUGGUGAUGUUUAUGCCAUGGAAACAGGACUUUUAUCUGCCUCGGAUGAGCAUUUAGAGGAAAAUUUCCCUGGAAAACGAGGUUUGCUACCCUUUUCUGUCCCUUCUGCUUCCCGGGCACACAGGGCCCGCAGCCUCUGCUGGGAGCUGGCCCCUCUGCCUUGCUCGGUGAGUGUUGGAGCAGGGGCCGCAGCCGGCUCCUGGGCCAGCAGAGGGGUGCACGGCCACCCCCAUCAGCUCCUGGCACGGGAGCAGAGCCAAGGGGA
This 1071-nucleotide long non-coding RNA is filed under the name Anas platyrhynchos platyrhynchos (common mallard). RNAcentral's name for it is "lncRNA (ENSAPLG00000026996.1)". The record is from RNAcentral. Lineage: Eukaryota; Metazoa; Chordata; Aves; Anseriformes; Anatidae.